Long non-coding RNA from Pristis pectinata (smalltooth sawfish), 7358 nucleotides. RefSeq lists it as uncharacterized. The transcript is spliced from 4 exons. The record is from RefSeq and is a predicted model, not a curated record. Lineage: Eukaryota; Metazoa; Chordata; Chondrichthyes; Rhinopristiformes; Pristidae.
UGUAGAUAUAUAAUGCCAAUCAAUCUACAAAAGAUCAAGACGUGAGUCCGGGAAAACCCUGGAUGACAAAGAGCUCCGGGAACGAAACAAUGUACUUGGCAUUCGGUGAGAAAGCCACGCAGGCCACUCCGUACUUGUGCUCCUGGAUCUCUGCCACCUGGGUCUUAUCAACGACAUCCCAGACUCGAACGGCGGGCAUGUGCCCACUCUGAAAACAUGGAGAGGAAGAAAGAGACAAUGAAUCAGUCUGAAAACACCAGUGAAUACUUGUUUCAUGGAUCUAUUCUAAUCAUGGAAAGCUGCAAUCCAAUACUGUAUCCAAUACAAUGGCAAUGAACAGGAAGUAGUUUGGUCUACAGAGACACAAGAGACUGCAGAUGCUGGAAUCUGGAGCAACAUACAAAGGAGCUGGAAGAACUCAGUAGGUCAGGCAGCAUCUAUGGAGGGAAAUGAACAGUCAAUGUUUCGGAUCAAGACCCUUCGUCAGGACUGGAGAGAAAGAGGGGAGGUGGCCAUUAUAAGAAGGUGGGGGGAAGAAGUGGAGCAAGAGCUGGUGGGUGAUAGGUGGAUCCAGGUGAGGGGGUUAAAAAGCAGGUGAGGGAGGCGGGAGAGUGGGAAUGAUGUAGCUGGGAGGUGAUAGGUAGAAGUAACAAAGGGCUGAAGAAGAUGGAAUCUGAUAGGAGAGGACUGUGGAACAUGGAAUAAAGGGAAGGUGAGGAGGGGAACAGAAGGGAGGAAUGUGUGAUUGAUGGGCAGAUCGAGAGGGCAGGGGAGGAGAAAGAGAUGGGGAUAUGGGAAACUGUGGAAUAAAGGAAAAAAGGGGGGGGGAGGAAAGGGACAGAAGAGAGUGGUUACCGGAAGUUAGAGAAAUUGAUGUUGAUGCCAUCAAGUUGGAGACAACCAAGGUGGAAUAUGAGGUGCUGUUCCUCUAACCUGCAUCUAGUCUCGACCUAGCAGUGGAGGAGGCCGCGGACAGGCAGGUUUGUGUGGGAAUGUGAAGUGGAAUUAAAAUAGCUGGCCACCAGGAGAUCCCGACUGGUACAACGGACAGGCCAAAGAUGCUCGACGAACCCGUCACUCAACCUGUGUCGGGUCUCACCAAGGAGGCCGCACCGGGAGCACCGGAUGCAAUAAAUGACACCGAUGGAUUCACAUGUGAAGCAGUUUGGUCUUUUGUGAUUGGAAAAAAUGCUGCUUGACUGGCUGAGUUCUUCCAACAUUUCUGUUUUCGUUUCACCAUUCCUCAAGGCACAUGUUCUCAACAGUUGGACAGAUCCUUGUUGCUCUGCUGGAUAAAUACUGAUUCAUCAGUCAAACAGCAUGCCCCCAAUUCCUAUAUAUGUUGCAACUAAGAAACAGAAGAAAACAUCUAACUGGUGGUGCUUGAAUGAUCUUACUAUCUGGCUUGCUUGCAGCAGUAUCCAUGACAUUAAUUCUUAAUUCAUGAAGUCGCCAUGGUUACCUUGAAGGGUUGGCAACCCUACCAAAGACAAGGGAUCAUGGCUUUAUACUUGCCGCUCUCUUCGGUAACACUUGCCAUGCCUUGCUGUCUCACCUACCUCAAGCUGGCGGGUGUCUUACAAGGAUGUCUGACAUGUGACAGCUCCUGGACAAAGUGCUGGUGUUUUGCUUCUGUUACAGGCUGAACCAGUUCAACCAGCCCAUCACUUUCCUGCAUUUUAUACCUAACAAACGCCAGCUCCAGUGCUCAGCACACGAAAAGAAAGGGUAAUAGUGGCCAAAUACUUAGGAAAGUUGAAUGAGGUUUUAUUCUGCAUCCACCUGACACAGGAAGUACUGUUUGAGUGGAGUGGAAGAGGGAGGACCCCUGUGUCACUGUCACGAUUCUACUCUAUGAACUGCACAAAGAAAAUUAAUGACCUUAAUGACCAAAAGGAGAAAAUGUGUUUUACCUGCAAUCCCUUUGGGCUAUAUUUCUCAUUGAGUCUUCACCUUGAAGCAAGCAAGAUUACAAACUGAAUUAAAACAGAAAAACAGAAAAUGCCGGAAACACUCUGCAGGACUGUAAUGAAGUGUUUUGGGAAGUUGGUUACUCCUAGAAUUAACUCCUGCUUGAGCAAAGACCUGGACCCGCUGCAAUUUGCCUACCAUCACAACAGGUCUACAGCAGAUGCAAUCUCGCUGGCUCUCCACUCUGCUUUGGUGCACCUAGACAACCAUAAAGCAUAUGCAAGGCUGCUGUUUAUUGAUUACAGCUCAGCAUUCAGUACCAUCAUCCCCUCAGUUCUAAUCAACAAGUUUCAAAACCUGGCUCCUGUACCUCCCUCUGCAACUGGAUCCUCAACUUCCUUAUCAGGAGACCACAGUCAGUGUGGAUCGGUAACAACAUCUCUUCCUCGUUGACAAUCAACACAGGCGCACCUCAAGGAUGCAUGCUUAGCCCACUGCUCUACUCUCUCUAUGUUCAUGACUGCAUGGCUAAGCUCAGCUCAAAUGUCAUCUAUAAAUUGACUAAUGACACCACUGUUGUUGGUAGAAUCUCAGAUGGCAACUAGGAGGCGUACAGAAGUGAUUCAGCUCAGCUGUUUGAGUGGUAUCGCAACAACAACCUUGCACUCAACAUCAUCAAGACCAAGGGAUUGGCUAUGGACUUCAGGAAGGGUUAGUGUGGAGAACACACACCAGUCCUCAGUGAGGAGUCAGCAGUGGAAAGGGUGAGCAGCUUCAAGUCCCUGGGUGUCAACAUCUUGGAGGAUCUGUGCUGGGCCCAACAUACUGAUACAAUCAUGAAGAAGGCACACCAGCAACUAUAAUUUGUUAGGAGUUUGAGGAGAUUCAGUAUGUCAUCAAAGACUCUUGCAGAUUUCUAUAGAUGUACGGUGGAGACCAUUCUGACUGGUUGCAUCACUGCCUGGUAUGGAGGCUCCAAUGCAUAGGAUCACAAGAGGCUGCAGAGGGCUAUAGACUCAGCCAGCUUCAUCAUGGGCACAACCCUCCCAACCACCGAUCACAUCUUCAAGAGGCACUGCCUCAAGAAGGCAGCAUCCAUCACUAAGGACCCUCACCAUCCGUCUUGUCACUACCCUUGGGAAGGAGGUACAGGAGCCUGAAGACCCAAUGCCAUCAGAUUUCUGAAUGGUUCAUGAACCCAUGAACACUAACUCGCUAUUCCUUUUCUUUUGCACUAUUUAUUUAGUUAUGGUAAUCUUAUCUCUUUGCACCGUAUUGCUGCUGCAAAACAACAAAUUUCAUAUCAUCUAAGUCAGAUAAUAAAUCUGAUUCUGAUUCAGGUCAGGCAACAUCCAUGGGAAAAGAAAGAGAGUUAACAUUCCAGGUUGGAGAUCCUUUGUCAGAUGGUUCUGACAUGGGGCCCUUGACCGGAAAGGUUAAUUCUGCAACUGACCAUAUAAAUGUUUCUACCAUUUUCUGUUUUUAUUUCAGAUUUCCAGCAUCUGCAGUUGUUUUUUAUUUUUGUACACUGAGUAACCUUUCCCCUACAUAAGUAGCCUCUCCAACAGCUUUUCUAAGUUCACAAACUGUACCAAAAUAUGAAAUACUCCUACAGUCCCACACUACCACUGAGAAGCGAUGCCUUGACAGGAGGCAGGUAUGAAUUAGAGAAUCAGAGAAUCAGUCUUAUAAGUGUUUCAGCAUUACCUCCAACCACCAAAUGAAGCUAAGUUCCUGAGCAUAUGACAGUUUUGACCACUCAUCUCUAACUAAUCUCAACUGAAGGUCAACUGUGGCUCACCCAGUAACAUUUUAUCUGUGUCAGUAAGUUUGGUUUCAAGUACUACUUCACAAUGGAUGCGCCAGUGCAGCAUUGGGAGAGUGGUGCACUGUCAACAGUGCAGUCUUGUGGAUGAAUUGUCAAACCAAGACCUAUCUUUCCAAGAAAUAUCACAUCAGCUAGGGGCUCUAAUGUCAUAUCUAUUGGAAUCUUUUAGCAUAGGAGUGAUUGUCUGUCAUUUGCUACACCCAGGGAAAUAUCCAUAAAGAUUUAAAGGGUUAUCCAGUCAUCCCAUUUCAGGGGAAUGAGCAGACAAUCCAGUGCCUUCCUGAGAGAGUGACGGGACAUUAAAAAAGACACCAAAUGAUCUCCUAGUGGGCUAAAGAACCUCCCACAGCAUAAUUUUGAAGUGCAGCGAGGGAGCUCUCUCAAGUAUUUCACCUUCUCCCAACAUCUCUCAGGGGCACCAUGCUAUUUAUACAUAGGGUGUUGGUCUUCCCUGCUACAAUAGUGACUAAACUUUAAAAAUAGUUAAUUUGCUACAAUGAUCCUGAGGUUGUGAAAGGCACUAUACGAAUGUAAGUGCUUUUCAUCAUAAAAUAAUGUUAUAAACAGAGCAGAGGUAGGCCAUUCGGCCCUUCAAGCUUGUUCAGCCAUUCAACAAGAUCAUGCCAACCCCAUGCACCUGCAUUUCAUUUUCCAGUCUGAUCUCUCAUUUCAUCCCUGAAUGGCCAACCCUAAUCCUGAGACUUCCCCAGUUAUGGACUCUCCAGCCUGAGGAAACAUCCUGUCAAUCCUUGUCAAAAUCCAGUGCCUUAAUGAGAUUGUGCCUUCUUCUAAUGCACUCUGGAAAAUCAGAUACUCUCUAUUCACUCCUUUGUCUAGGACAACACUCUGUUUCCUCUCCUUUCCCCACCUUUAUACCAGCGCUUAUCUGGAAAUUCAACAUGUGGGGAUGUUUACAUCAGUACUAUGUGAGUGAGAAUGGAUUUUUUCUGGAAUGAAGUGUGAAACUGUUCAUUUCUGGGUGCUUCCCAAAGACAGUCAUUAGCUUAGAAAUAGGCCCUUGGGCCAACCACGUCCACGCCAAUCAGCAGGCACUCAUUUACAGCGGCCAAUUAACCUACCAACCUGUACAUCUUCAGGAUAUAAAAGGAAACACCUGGGGAAAACUCAUAGGGAAACUCACAAGAAGAACGUACAAACUCCACACAGACACCACCAGAGGUCAGAAUUGAACCCGGCAACAUGACUAGCUGCACCACUGCGCCAUCCUUGACACUUGUGUCUUUGAUGAAACUUCUGUGCUAGAUGCACAUCAAAUUACAUCAAUUCAAACUUCAUUGCUGAUCCAAACAAAAGCAGCAAUAGACCCUCGUGCCAUGGCUGACCUUUUACCCAACUCCCUGCUCUAACUCCAUAUCCUUUUUAGUAAUUGUUUAUUUUAUCAGUCAUAUGUGCAUUUGAUGCCAGUCAUUACAAUACUGUGGAGGUAUGGUUACCAUAUGGAGCGAUUUAUGUAUAUUUUACGAUUUACCGACAAAAUCGACUUAUAGACAUCUGUAAAAUGGAACCCGUUUACUACCUGGGGCCUGUACAUACAUUAUUUGUGUGUUCUGACUAGCUCAUGUAUUAUGCAGUCCUGGUUUAUGAUUUCCUUGCAAACCAUUCGGCCUGACAAUCAAUGGACUCUUGGGGUCCAUUCUAGUAUUGUGUUUUCAUCAACUGGUCUUUAAACACUGUAGUCCCUCAGGGACAUUUGAGGCUCAACCUCUCCCCUGUGACAGACACUCCGGCUGACGGAGGCACUCCCAACAAAUUGACACAGCUUGUUGACACAGGGAUUAGGGGACAGGAGGUCUUUGCUCCUUUCUACAGGCCAGCUCCAGCUGCAUUUCCCUUUCUUAAGAUGUACUGUAGGUUAGGUGAAGAGGGAAAAGAACAACACUCCAAAAACUCUGCUACUGAACGCUAUGUUGGAACAUGCACUGCCUGGGGGGCCCAGAAAAGGGCCGGGGAUAAGGGAACAGCCGGGAUGUCUUCAGUGAUAGAAUAGCCCAUGGGCAGUUACUGUUCAGGCAUGCACCUCCAAAAAAAUCCACUUGUUACUUGAGAAUGGCAAAUAUAUGUAGAACUCAACCCCCAACCCUCAGAGGUAGGAGUUGAUUCUCAAAUGUGACAGCCAUUUCUGUAGCUAUGAGUUAUUUUGAGACACACUGAUAAAGUACUGCAGAAGUGCAAGUCCUUCAUUUGUGCCCUGAUUCUUCAGUAUAAACUCUCUUUAAUAUUCCACUCUCUCCUCACUCUGUCCAUUAGCAUUUGGGCUAUGUCCUAGGCCAGACCAUCUUUAGCUGCAUCAUCAAAAACCUCCUUCCUUCGUAAGGUCAGAAGUGGGCAUAUUCGCUGAUGAUUGUUCAAUUCCUUUGUUAUUGGCAGUAAAUCAUCAAAUACUCCCCAACAGCUCUGUGGGAGCACCUUCACCAGAAGGGCUACUGUGGUUGAAGAAGGCAGCUAACCACCACUCUCAAGGGCAUAGAAGGAUAGGCAAUAAAUGUUCACAUUGUCAACCACACCCACAUCAUAUGAAUCAAUAAAUAACAUUCACUCAAGUGCGCAACUAUGUGGCCUUAUUAACAGAUUUCCACCGACAUGCGUACUGACAUGUUACAAUGUGGAAAAGGUUGUUCAGCCCAUGGAGUCUGUGCCAGCUCCCAGUAGAUCAAUCCCAUCCGUCCCUUUCCCCUUCCCUUGCCCUAUAGCCCUGUAACUUAAUCCCUCUCACACGCCCAUCAUCUCCCCUUUGAUUCUUUUGUCACUAAUAUACACUAAUGGGUGAUUUACGCAGCCAUUUAAUCUACCAGAAGGAAACCUAGAUGGUCAUGGGGAGAAGGUGUAAAGUCCAUUCAGACAGCACCAGAGGUCAGGAUUGUACUGUGAGGCAGCAAUACUACCUGCUGUUCCACCAAGAGGAAAGCAGAUAUCCUUACUCGAAGGUGUUAGUGAACCAGACGAGUUUUCUGACAAUCCAGUUACUGUUGCUAAGAGUAGCUUUAAGUCCAGGGCUAAUGACUGUUGCUUAAAUUCCCCAGCUGCCUUGGUGGGAUAUGAACCCGUUUCUCUGAGGUCAAUGGUCCAGAAUGCUGACUGCCAAUUCAGUGAAUAAAUCACUAUGCCACCAUAACACACUGAGUAAUUGAUGGUUUGUUGAGACUUCACUUAUACAAACACCAUCCCUAGUUCCAUAUAUGUCCUUACAAAAGGAGAGAACCCUCUACAGAGUUAUACACAGAUAUCCCAGUGAGACACCGUAAACAUUGUGAAACACACAUCUCCCUUUCCCAGGGCGUUCACGCGAGGGCCUGCCUCAACAGCACACAGCAAAGGGUUGUGCCCUUCGCUCACCAGGCCAGCAAACAUUACUAGCAUUUAUUGGCCAGUCCUCGGUGUUCUUGAAAAGGUGGUGGUGAGCCAGCUCCUUGGAUCACUGCGGAACUUCUGGUAAAGGUGCCUCCACUGUAUUGUUGGUGAGUAAGUUCCAGAAUUUAGACUCAGCAACAAUGAAGGACCCGGUGACAUACUUCUAAGUCAGGCUGGUGCGGACUUGGAAGGGAACCUGCAGGUGGGGGUGUUCUCCUGCACCUGUCAGGACUGACAACCCUAGUCUGGG